Molecule: long non-coding RNA, 870 nt
Organism: Xenia sp. Carnegie-2017
Lineage: Eukaryota; Metazoa; Cnidaria; Anthozoa; Malacalcyonacea; Xeniidae
Exons: 3
Source: RefSeq, a predicted model, not a curated record
UCUGGCUCCGAAUCUCAAUCGGAAAAAAUGACGAUAACAACGAAAUCCAACUCGACCGUUGCGCUAAAACGAGCUGUCCCAUUUGGUUUUUCCUUACGGGGUAUCUAUAACACACUGACUGUAAAGCAGAAGAUUGAUAUCUGGACUGUGUUAAAUGUUGUCAAAGAAAAUAUUGAGAGAAGCUUCCGUUAAACAGAUAUUACAUGAAGCAGAUUUAGAUGGAGACGAUCAACUAUCUUUUGCCGAAUUCGAAAACGUCAUGUCUAAAGCUUUAGAUUUUCUUAGAGUAUUUCGUAUUCGAUUGUAAUUUCAGCAGAAUCAUGGAUGUUUAAAAACAUUGAAUAUGGUUGAUUCACAAGGUGCUUUACAGUACAAUGUAUCAUAUAAUAACUUCCACUUUGAACAUUUUAGCAUGAUCUAAUUAAUGGCUAAUGGAAACAGCAAAGCAUAAUUAUUUAACAUUUAUAAAAUAUUUUCGUACAUAACUGUAUUACUGUUGCAGGUAGCGAACCUGCAACAGUAACCUGCAACGCGUGUUUAUAUAACUCUACAGAAUAUUGGAAAUGCUUUUCUAUUUCUUAAAUGUAACAUAUUCAUUCAACAAGAACAUUUCAAACUGUUUUAAUCUUUGCUACUAGCGUGCUAGUCUGAUGUUAUAACAAAAGAUGCUAAACUACUCAUAUCAAUUUUUCACCGCCAGCAAUAUAAGUUUAUAUGAGACCCAGAAUGUAGCGUUAUAUGAACUGAGACAUUUGUGCACAUUGAAUUAUCAUUUAAUACUUUAUAACGCUAUUAUUCCUAUGAAGAAGUAGUUCUCAAAUUCUUAUAUUAUCAUUCUAAUGAUAUACAUCAAUAAAACUGCAACGCAAA